RNAcentral lists this ribosomal RNA (857 nucleotides) under uncultured bacterium. RNAcentral describes it as "bacterial SSU rRNA". It matches the Rfam family "Bacterial small subunit ribosomal RNA", at positions 1 to 827 of the family's 1533-position model. The record is from RNAcentral.
CGGAGAGUUUGAUCCUGGCUCAGGACGAACGCUGGCGGCGUGCCUAAUACAUGCAAGUCGAACGAACUCUGGUAUUGAUUGGUGCUUGCAUCAUGAUUUACAUUUGAGUGAGUGGCGAACUGGUGAGUAACACGUGGGAAACCUGCCCAGAAGCGGGGGAUAACACCUGGAAACAGAUGCUAAUACCGCAUAACAACUUGGACCGCAUGGUCCGAGCUUGAAAGAUGGCUUCGGCUAUCACUUUUGGAUGGUCCCGCGGCGUAUUAGCUAGAUGGUGGGGUAACGGCUCACCAUGGCAAUGAUACGUAGCCGACCUGAGAGGGUAAUCGGCCACAUUGGGACUGAGACACGGCCCAAACUCCUACGGGAGGCAGCAGUAGGGAAUCUUCCACAAUGGACGAAAGUCUGAUGGAGCAACGCCGCGUGAGUGAAGAAGGGUUUCGGCUCGUAAAACUCUGUUGUUAAAGAAGAACAUAUCUGAGAGUAACUGUUCAGGUAUUGACGGUAUUUAACCAGAAAGCCACGGCUAACUACGUGCCAGCAGCCGCGGUAAUACGUAGGUGGCAAGCGUUGUCCGGAUUUAUUGGGCGUAAAGCGAGCGCAGGCGGUUUUUUAAGUCUGAUGUGAAAGCCUUCGGCUCAACCGAAGAAGUGCAUCGGAAACUGGGAAACUUGAGUGCAGAAGAGGACAGUGGAACUCCAUGUGUAGCGGUGAAAUGCGUAGAUAUAUGGAAGAACACCAGUGGCGAAGGCGGCUGUCUGGUCUGUAACUGACGCUGAGGCUCGAAAGUAUGGGUAGCAAACAGGAUUAGAUACCCUGGUAGUCCAUACCGUAAACGAUGAAUGCUAAGUGUUGGA